This 253-nucleotide ribosomal RNA is filed under the name uncultured bacterium. RNAcentral's name for it is "partial 16S ribosomal RNA". It matches the Rfam family "Bacterial small subunit ribosomal RNA", at positions 524 to 776 of the family's 1533-position model. The record is from RNAcentral.
GACAGAGGGUGCAAACGUUGUUCGGAAUUACUGGGCGUAAAGCGAGUGUAGGCGGUCUGUAAAGUCGGGUGUGAAAGCCCCGGGCUCAACCCGGGAAGUGCACUCGAAACUCACAGGCUAGAGUAUCGGAGAGGUUGGUGGAAUUCUCGGUGUAGAGGUGAAAUUCGUAGAUAUCGAGAGGAACACCGGUGGCGAAGGCGGCCAACUGGACGAAUACUGACGCUGAGGUGCGAAAGCGUGGGGAGCAAACAGG